Molecule: ribosomal RNA, 253 nt
Filed under: uncultured bacterium
Lineage: Bacteria
Description: partial 16S ribosomal RNA
Rfam family: Bacterial small subunit ribosomal RNA
Source: RNAcentral
UACGGAGGGUGCAAGCGUUAUCCGGAUUCACUGGGUUUAAAGGGUGCGUAGGCGGGUAAGUAAGUCCGUGGUGAAAUCUCUGAGCUUAACUCAGAACCUGCCGUGGAUACUAUUUGCCUUGAAUAUUGUGGAGGUGAGCGGAAUAUGUCAUGUAGCGGUGAAAUGCUUAGAUAUGACAUAGAACACCAAUUGCGAAGGCAGCUCACUACACAAUCAUUGACGCUGAGGCACGAAAGCGUGGGGAUCAAACAGG